UCCAGACUCCUACGGGAGGCAGCAGUGAGGAAUAUUGGUCAAUGGUCGGGAGACUGAACCAGCCAAGCCGCGUGAGGGAUGAAGGUACAGAGUAUUGUAAACCUCUUUUGUCAGGGAACAAAGGCGGGGACGUGUCCCCGGAUGAGUGUACCUGAAGAAAAAGCAUCGGCUAACUACGUGCCAGCAGCCGCGGUAAUACGUAGGGAGCAAGCGUUAUCCGGAUUUAUUGGGUGUAAAGGGUGCGUAGACGGGUAUACAAGUUAGUAGUGAAAUCCCUCGGCUUAACUGAGGAACUGCUACUAAAACUAUAUAUCUUGAGUACUGGAGGGGAAAGCGGAAUUCCUAGUGUAGCGGUGAAAUGCGUAGAUAUUAGGAAGAACACCGGUGGCGAAGGCGGCUUUCUGGACAGAAACUGACGUUGAGGCACGAAAGUGUGGGGAGCAAACAGGAUUAGAUACCCGUGUA
Molecule: ribosomal RNA, 465 nt
Filed under: uncultured bacterium
Lineage: Bacteria
Description: bacterial SSU rRNA
Rfam family: Bacterial small subunit ribosomal RNA
Source: RNAcentral